Molecule: ribosomal RNA, 206 nt
Filed under: uncultured bacterium
Lineage: Bacteria
Description: partial 16S ribosomal RNA
Rfam family: Bacterial small subunit ribosomal RNA
Source: RNAcentral
CUCGUGGGCGGUUUGUCGCGUCGUCUGUGAAAUUCUGCAGCUUAACUGCAGGCGUGCAGGCGAUACGGGCAGACUUGAGUACUACAGGGGAGACUGGAAUUCCUGGUGUAGCGGUGAAAUGCGCAGAUAUCAGGAGGAGCACCGGUGGCGAAGGCGGGUCUCUGGGUAGUAACUGACGCUGAGGAGCGAAAGCGUGGUAGCGAACA